This 482-nucleotide ribosomal RNA is filed under the name uncultured bacterium. Its description in RNAcentral is "partial 16S ribosomal RNA". It matches the Rfam family "Bacterial small subunit ribosomal RNA", at positions 28 to 523 of the family's 1533-position model. The record is from RNAcentral.
GAUGAACGCUGGCGGCGUGCUUAACACAUGCAAGUCGAACGGUGAAGCCAAGCUUGCUUGGUGGAUCAGUGGCGAACGGGUGAGUAACACGUGAGCAAUAUGCCCUUGACUCUGGGAUAAGCGCUGGAAACGGCGUCUAAUACUGGAUAUGAGCUGUGGCCGCAUGGUCGGCAGUUGGAAAGAAUUUCGGUCAAGGAUGAGCCCGCGGCCUAUCAGCUUGUUGGUGAGGUAAUGGCUCACCAAGGCGUCGACGGGUAGCCGGCCUGAGAGGGUGACCGGCCACACUGGGACUGAGACACGGCUCAGACUCCUACGGGGGGCAGCAGUGGAGAAUAUUGCACAAUGGGCGCAAGCCUGAUGCAGCAACGCCGCGUGAGGGACGACGGCCUUCGGGUUGUAAACCUCUUUUAGCAGGGAAGAAGCGAAAGUGACGGUACCUGCAGAAAAAGCACCGGCUAACUACGUGCCAGCAGCCGCCGCAG